GACGAAGGAUGCAAGCGUUAUCCGGAUUCAUUGGGUUUAAAGGGAGCGUAGGUGGUCUUAUAAGUCAGUGGUGAAAUCUCGCAGCUUAACUGCGAAACUGCCAUUGAUACUGUAGGACUUGAGUAUAGUUGCUGUGGGCGGAAUAUGACAUGUAGUGGUGAAAUACUUAGAGAUGUCAUAGAACACCGAUUGCGAAGGCAGCUCACAAAACUAUAACUGACACUGAGGCUCGAAAGUGCGGGGAGCAAACAGG
RNAcentral lists this ribosomal RNA (253 nucleotides) under uncultured bacterium. Its description in RNAcentral is "partial 16S ribosomal RNA". It matches the Rfam family "Bacterial small subunit ribosomal RNA", at positions 524 to 776 of the family's 1533-position model. The record is from RNAcentral.